Molecule: ribosomal RNA, 689 nt
Filed under: uncultured haloarchaeon
Lineage: Archaea; Methanobacteriati; Methanobacteriota; Halobacteria; Halobacteriales; Halobacteriaceae
Description: bacterial SSU rRNA
Rfam family: Archaeal small subunit ribosomal RNA
Source: RNAcentral
UUCCGGUUGAUCCUGCCGGAGGCCAUUGCUAUCGGAGUUCGAUUUAGCCAUGCUAGUCGCACGAGUUCACACUCGUGGCGGAUAGCUCAGUAACACGUGGCCAAACUGCCCUAUGGAUCGGGAUAACCUCGGGAAACUGAGGCUAAUCCCGAAUACGGCUCUCUCACUGGAAUGUGGAGAGCUCGAAACGCUCAGGCGCCAUAGGAUGUGGCUGCGGCCGAUUAGGUAGACGGUGGGGUAACGGCCCACCGUGCCGAUAAUCGGUACGGGUUGUGUGAGCAAGAGCCCGGAGAUGGAUUCUGAGACAAGAAUCCAGGCCCUACGGGGCGCAGCAGGCGCGAAAACUUUACACUGCACGACAGUGCGAUAAGGGAACUCCGAGUGCGAGGGCAUAUCGUCCUCGCUUUUCUGAACCGUAAGGUGGUUCAGGAACAAGGGCUGGGCAAGACCGGUGCCAGCCGCCGCGGUAAUACCGGCAGCCCGAGUGAUGGCCGCUAUUAUUGGGCCUAAAGCGUCCGUAGCCUGCCAGACAGGUCCAUCGGGAAAUCUGCUCGCUCAACGAGCAGGCGUCCGGUGGAAACCAGCUGGCUUGGGGCCGGAAGACCCAGGGGGUACGUCCGGGGUAGGAGUGAAAUCCCGUAAUCCUGGACGGACCACCAAUGGGCGAAAGCACCCUGUGAGGACGGACC